RNAcentral lists this ribosomal RNA (405 nucleotides) under uncultured soil bacterium. RNAcentral's name for it is "bacterial SSU rRNA". It matches the Rfam family "Bacterial small subunit ribosomal RNA", at positions 26 to 399 of the family's 1533-position model. The record is from RNAcentral.
AGGAUGAACGCUGGCGGCGUGCUUAACACAUGCAAGUCGAACGAUGAAGGCUGGAGCUUGCUCUGGCUGGAUUAGUGGCGAAACGGGUGAGUAACACGUGAGUAACCCUGCCCCAGACUCUGGGAUAAGCGCUGGAAACGGCGUCUAAUACCGGAUACGAGCUUCCACCGCAUGGUGAGGAGCUGGAAAGAAUUUCGGUCUGGGGAUGGACUCGCGGUCCUAUCAGCUUGUUGGUGAGGUAAUGGCUCACCAAGGCGACGGACGGGUAGCCGGCCUGAGAGGGUGACCCGGCCACGACGUGGGACCUGACGACCGACGGCCCAGACGUCCGUACGGGAGCAGGUCGAGGUGGGGAAUAGUUGACAACGAAGUCGGGCGACAAGCCUAGACUGCGAAGCAACGCCG